GGAGCGGGAAAUUUGGAUUCGAAUAUGGAUUUCUUCAGUGAUGACAGACCGAACUUCCGACGGAGGCAGUCGGAACAAGAGACAAUGCCUUACAGCUGGAAAUUAAGGCUAAAAAAAAUAUUCAAUAUCGGAAAAUAUACCAAAGAUCGAGGCAAAUAUCUAUAACUAGUGUUCGUCGGUUUUUUUCGACCGAAAGCCGUCGAAAAACUUAUGUUAUAUGAGAUUAUUUUGUGGACCAUAUCUCAUUUCGUGACUCUCUAUUCCUCUUCACUCCAGCGGCGGCACCUCUUUUUUAGGGCUUUUUUCUCUCUUUGAGCUAAGAUGGAACUUGAACAUCGCAGAUGGAUGUAUGAUAGAAAUUAUCCUAAUCGGUAGAAAUUGAGGGAGGAAUUUAUAGAAGGAGUUGCAUGAUUUAUUGCUAAGGCGAAAACACUUUAUGAAUUUCUCACUGAAUGGAUGAUUAGGUGCCCUUGUAUGAAAUACAAAUGUAGAAAGCUGUUGAAAAUAGAGGAUGUUAAAAGACAUCUUUAUAGGAAAGGGUUUAUGAAAAAUUAUUAUGUGUGGACUAUUCAUGGAGAAAUUGAUGUCGAUUUUCAAAAACUUUCUAGUGGUGAGAGUAGUCGAUUAGUGGAGAAGAAUUUUGAAAAUUCUCGAUUCAAUAAAAUGGUUAAGGGUGAUUUUGGGAUGUACGCAGGGGUUCAGUCCCAACCAAAUGUUCAACAUUCUCCUAAUUAUGAGGCUAAUCGCUUCUUUACAUUUAGAGGAAGCUAGUCAGCCACUCUGAAGGCUCAAUGCAUUGUAAGUAUUCUCUUGCACAUAGAUUACUAAGUAUUAAAUCGCAUUGGAAUAUUCCGCGAGCGGCCAUGGACUCUUUCGUUGGGCUCAUGAAUGAACUUAAUCAGAUAUAAAAUUGACUUACCUAAUGAUUAUUACACAACUAAGAAAGGUUUCCCAAUCGUGGAGAGGUUGGAGGGUUGGAUCAUUUUCAAAGGUUGAUUAUCGCUCCCGAUGGGACUACUAGGUAAGCAAUCCUUUUGUUAGUUGUUAAUUAUUGAAUAUAUUUUUACAUAUGUUGAAUUUGAUUGCAGAUUUUUUCCCUCCACUCUAUCUAUGAUAGCUGUUAGGGAUUCUAUUAUAGCAUCUUAUCGUGACGUUUGGAAUACCUGGAGAGAGAUACCGUACAUUGUCAGAGACCAGAUGUGGAAUUGCUUUAGGGUGUGCAUGGCAUACCCAACAUGAUCAUCAAAUAAGUAGUAAUUUCAAGAAGAAAGCUGCUGAUCUGCUUAAAGAUACCUUGUGGACUGCUCAGAGAAAGGUUCAGAAGCCCAGCUGGAUGUUCGAAGAUGUAUGUGCUAGACUUAAUGAGAAGUGGGACAGUGCGAAAUUUCAGAAGAAGAGCACCCAAGCAAAGGCAGUCCGAGCCUCCGACAAGGGUGGCUCAGUUGGUAUAGGGACCAAUCGAAGGAGAUUGGAAAAGUUAAAAGGAAGAACUAUAACUUAUGGUGAGGUCUUUGAGGAGCCACCUGCGAAAAAGAAAAAAGAUGGUACAAGAAUUCGGGGCAAGCCGCAUGCUGAGGGGACAUACGCUUGGCUGAAUGGUGUGAAAGUGAAUCGGCUUCCGAGGAUGGUAGCUCAAUCCAACCGUCACCGGAUGAUGUAGCUUCAAUAUUGAGGGAUAUGGUUGAUGGCAUAGAGAAAAGUAGAGCCUACAACCUUGGAUCACACCAUUGCUUAGGCCGUUCGGUGUCAAAAUAGUCUGGUGCUUCUUCUAGUUCGCGCAAUCAGGAAUAUAUAGAUGCAUUAUGUUGGGAAAGCACAAAGCAGACCAUUUAAAACUUUAAGGACUGGAGAAGCUAGCGCAUAACUUCAUGGACUAUUGUCAAUCUGAUCCACAGUCUAACUCUGAUGAUGAAAAUUAGUUGUUGUAGUUGUGAUGUUUGGAACAUUUUGUUUGAUUUGGUUAGGAUGUUACUUGAAUGGUGUUUGAUUGUUUAGGGUUGUAUUUGGAUCUAUAAAUUAGUAGCUGUAAGACUCAAUCUCAAGUUAUAGAUAUUUGUGUUGCCAUAUUUUUAAAUAGUGGAGGAUGCAUUUUGUUGA
This is an RNA transcript of Nicotiana tabacum (common tobacco), 2097 nucleotides long. RefSeq lists it as uncharacterized. NCBI's taxonomy places the organism in Eukaryota, Viridiplantae, Streptophyta, Magnoliopsida, Solanales, Solanaceae. The record is from RefSeq and is a predicted model, not a curated record.